Peromyscus maniculatus bairdii (prairie deer mouse) is the source of this 421-nucleotide non-coding RNA. The record is from RefSeq and is a predicted model, not a curated record. Lineage: Eukaryota; Metazoa; Chordata; Mammalia; Rodentia; Cricetidae.
UCCAGUCUACUUGUGGAUUUGUACAUAACUACAGAUAAUGCUCAAAACAAAACAGGCAGUGCGGGCAUAUAGCCUGGUCGGCAGAGCACCCGCUAGCUGAGAGGAAGCCGAGGUUUGGGCUGAGCUGCAUGAAACUGACCUUGGCGACACAUGCCAGUUACCCCACCAUGCAGGAGGAUGUGCGGAAGAGGAUAUGUAUGAACCCAAAGUCAAACAAAUAAUUGACAAAUCAAAUUGAAACCAUCAAGUUCACACUUAAAGCCCUGCCUGAGACUUGAAGCUUCUUUCCUGGUUGUUUGGAUUCUAAAGCAUUCUUAGGAGCCUCCUGCUGCGAGCCCCCUGGGAGCUCAGACUUACUUCCACAUGUCCCCAGGGCAAAGGAAAAUGUAAAGAAGCUUCCUUUCUCUUCUCCAAAUUCUGC